Molecule: non-coding RNA, 168 nt
Organism: Triticum urartu
Lineage: Eukaryota; Viridiplantae; Streptophyta; Magnoliopsida; Poales; Poaceae
Source: Rfam
GUGAGUAGGGAAAGGGAAGCCAUGAGUAUCUCAGAGCAGUGGGCGUGGGAACAUGGAGGAAAGCCUAUACUUGUUGGCCUCUAAAUUUAGGGGCCAAGAUUAUUUCAUGUUUUCCUGAUGCCUCCCAUGCCUAUUGUUCUUAGGUAUUCCUUCCUUUUCCUAUUUUCU